UUCCUCGCGACAGGCGGUGCCCUUUGCAGGAGGGGACAGGUAGCUGAGGCGUGGACAGAGUGACAGGCCAGGCUCAGGGGACACAGGUGAGACCCCCUCACUGGGCUGCCAGUUCCCGGGCUUGGGGCAUCCCAGUACGUCAGCGUCUGCGGCCUUACCUCCUGACACCUAAGGCCAGAGACAGAGCAGGCCCGCGCCCUGGGAGGUCCUGAUGUCCAGCCUGAAGAUUGAGGACAAAGCCACCACCUUUCACAAAAUGAGGCCAGACCACCUGCCUCCCUCCAGUCCCUGCGGCCUGGAGACGGAGUCAACAUUCUUAUCUGUGUUGGAUCUGAAUGUUCCUCCUUGCAAAGGAAACAAGGAGUGGACGUUCAGGCUGAUGGCCAGCUUCAAAGAUCGGGGCCUUUGAUUCCCAUCACUGGGAAGAAAGCCCUUCAGACAAGCCCCCCCAGGCUGCAGGUGCAUGGGGACCUUGAAGAACCCGUCCCCAUGGUCCCACGUCCAUGUGUCUCGAGACCUGUCGCAUCCUCGCUGAAACUCAAGAAUGUGAAACAGGUGAAGGUGUGUUUUGACGCAUUAGCAUACCAGGGCUGUGGUGUGGGCACCGCCGUGUGAGUGAGACAGCAGCCUCAGCCCGUCCAGGUCACUGCAGAAGAGGAAAGCAGCCCCCACAGGCCCCACAGUGGUGCUCGCCUUUCUCCACCCCCCAGUCUUUCCUCUCCACCCCUCAGCUCCAAACAGCUGGAGGUCAGGUCGGGGAGACGGGCGUCCAUUCCCGAAAUUACAUAGCAGGGCCUGGAGACAGGAGAUGCCGCCGGCCAGACCACCAUCAGUCACUAAUGAGGGAUGGGCAGUCGGAACUGCCCAGUUUCUGAGUUACAGAAGCCGGGGGUGGGGGGCUGCCAGACUAGUAAAACUGACCUUGUUGGCGGAAUCGCUCACGGCUUUUCUGUUGAUGAACAGAGUCCAGCUCUCCCACGGGUGGCUGUGAUCCUUCUUCCUGGGGAGUCCUGCUGUCCCUGACUAGGGGCACCUGCCCACCUGUCAGCUGCUCCUCCCUCGGCUGGUCCUCCUGGGCUCUGAUGGCCCCAACAUUUCUAGCUCUUCUCACCCAUAGUGCCCCAAGCUUCAUGCAGCUGCGGCAGCAGCAUGAACAGACUGAGAUAGCGGCUUACAUGUAACCGGAAGCUGCAGAAAAACAUCUUCAGACAGCUGAGACGGCUCCCAGGACUCGUGCCUGGCACAGACACCAUCUGCCUGGCAGGGCAAAGAAAGGCGUCUGUGAGUGUGGGAGGAUUCCGAGUCUAACACCCUGAGCCCAGCCAGGAAGGGGCCAGGAAGGCCUCCUCGUGAACAACGAAUGAAACAGAUCCCAGAUCUCAGACAGGGCGGGGAAGGGGAGGGGUACCAUGUCAAGCAGCACUCUGUGUAAGUCGGCACCUGCGCACACUUGCAUGCAGACGUGUGUAUUGUGAGUGUAUGGACAUGUUAGAAAUGGAUGUGUGCAUGUGUCUGCAUGUGUUUGUGCAUUUAUGCACAGACACUACACGGGCAUGCACAUCAUGUACGUAUAUGUUUGCAUAUGUGCACGUGUGUGUACGUGCAUGUGUUCGUGUGUGCAUGCACACAGCAUGCGUGUGUGUGUAUACUUGCAUGCAUGCUAACAUAUGGUGGAGAAUAAAUAAUGAUCACCUCUCUGGAACUGGGGAAAGUAAGUGUUAAACAGAUUUUCGACAGGAAAUGCUGCUGCAAGGAAUUCGUCCGUAGGCUAGCACUACAACCUGGAGGCAGGGAGCAGUGAGGAGUGGAAGUCUUCCCAUCAGAAGUGAGGAAGGCUGGAUACGGUGGCUCACACCAGUAAUCCCAGCACUUUGGGAGGCAAAGGCAGGAGGAUCACUUGAGCCCAGGAGUUUGAGACCAGCCUAGGCAACUUAGCAAGACCUUGUCUUAAAAAAAAAAAAAAAAAUUUUACAAGGAACUACACAGAUGGCAAAAUUAAAAAAAAAAAAAGUGGGAAGAGGGGAGAAAGGGAGAUCAAUGUCUUCUACAGAUUUCAUCUUAUCGGGUGGAGGGUGUGAGGAGUAGAGCCACGUGGUGGGAAACUGUUGGUGUCUUGUUUGCGAAUGACUUUGGAACAAAGACCACCUGAUAAGCACAGUUAAGGAAGGAAAACACACAGGGACUUCCCAGGGAGCCAGGAGGACACUGGGGGAGCAGGAACACCUGCCUUUCCCAUGGGGCCCUGGUGUGCCCAGCCCCCCACUUCAUGUCUGACCCACGUGCUCUCCGGCUGACCUCCUGGGACUCGCACCUGGCCCCCACUUGGUAUCUGAGCCACGUGCUUCCCGGCCCUCACUUGGUAUCUGAGCCAUGUACUUCCCGGCUGACCUCCCGCAACGUGAAGACUACUCUCGCUCCCUUCAAGGCCACUGUCCCCACCGCAGCCAGAGAGGUGUUUUAUAGUUCAAAUCCUGCCCAGGCACCAUCUUGUCUAAAGGCAGCCCUGAGCCGGAAUCUGUGUGCUUUGCUGAUGGGACUGUAAAAUGGCGCAGUCACUUUUGAAACAGUCUGACAGUUCCUCAAAAGCUUAAACAUAGACUUACCACAUACCCAGCAAUUCCACGCCCAGGCUCUGCCCCAGGAGAAUUGAAAACAUCUAUCCACACGGAAACUUGUACACAAAUGUUCACAGUUGCACUAUUUAUCAUCAUCAGAAUGCCUAUAAUUGAUGAACAGGUGAACAAAUUGUGCUAUAUCCAUAUAAUUA
Homo sapiens (human) is the source of this 2767-nucleotide long non-coding RNA. The record is from Ensembl. NCBI's taxonomy places the organism in Eukaryota, Metazoa, Chordata, Mammalia, Primates, Hominidae.